Molecule: small nuclear RNA, 102 nt
Filed under: Piliocolobus tephrosceles (Ugandan red Colobus)
Lineage: Eukaryota; Metazoa; Chordata; Mammalia; Primates; Cercopithecidae
Source: RNAcentral
AGGCUCACUUCAGCAGCACAUACGCUAAAAUUAAAACAACAGAGAUUAGCAUGUCCCUUGCACAAAGAUGACAUGCACAUUCAUGAAGCAUCUCAUAUUUCA